Molecule: ribosomal RNA, 618 nt
Filed under: uncultured Lachnospiraceae bacterium
Lineage: Bacteria; Bacillati; Bacillota; Clostridia; Lachnospirales; Lachnospiraceae
Description: bacterial SSU rRNA
Rfam family: Bacterial small subunit ribosomal RNA
Source: RNAcentral
UUAUCUUAGUGGCGGACGGGUGAGUAACGCGUGAGCAACCUGCCUUUCAGAGGGGGAUAACGUCUUGAAAAGGACGCUAAUACCGCAUGAUAUUAUGGAGCCACAGGGCUCUAUAAUCAAAGGAGCAAUCCGCUGAAAGAUGGGCUCGCGUCCGAUUAGGUAGUUGGCGGGAUAACAGCCCACCAAGCCGACGAUCGGUAGCCGGACUGAGAGGUUGAACGGCCACAUUGGGACUGAGACACGGCCCAGACUCCUACGGGAGGCAGCAGUGAGGGAUAUUGGUCAAUGGGGGAAACCCUGAACCAGCAACGCCGCGUGAGGGAUGACGGCCUUCGGGUUGUAAACCUCUGUCCUCUGUGAAGAUAAUGACGGUAGCAGAGGAGGAAGCUCCGGCUAACUACGUGCCAGCAGCCGCGGUAAUACGUAGGGAGCAAGCGUUGUCCGGAUUUACUGGGUGUAAAGGGUGCGUAGGCGGUUUGGUAAGUCAGAAGUGAAAUCCAUGGGCUUAACCCAUGAACUGCUUUUGAAACUAUCGAACUUGAGUGAAGUAGAGGUAGGCGGAAUUCCCGGUGCAGCGGUGAAAUGCGUAGAGAUCGGGAGGAACACCAGUGGCGAAGG